RNAcentral lists this long non-coding RNA (516 nucleotides) under Setaria viridis. RNAcentral's name for it is "long non-coding RNA (SVIR_LNC003127)". Lineage: Eukaryota; Viridiplantae; Streptophyta; Magnoliopsida; Poales; Poaceae. The record is from RNAcentral.
AUUUCUCGUAUUCAUCACCACGAUAGAGGAUACAAUCAUUAGGGUAUGCGUGUAUCUUCUGAAACUCUAAUCCCAGAGGGCAAACAACCUAUUUAGCUUCAUAUAUUGUGGACAACAAUUCAUUAUUCUCGGGAAACUUGUUCUCUACAAUUUUCAAUACCCCUAAAAUGCCUUAUCGGACGCACCAUUUUUUACCUUCCAUUGUAGUAUUUUCAAUGUGGUACCCAUCUUUUUAUGCUCCUGCUUGCAAUUUGGAUACAAUAAUUUUUUGUGAUCAUCUAUCAUACGCUGCAACUUUUCUGAUUCCUUCUCAGUUUCACAGUCAUUCUGUGCAUCCCGUAGCACCUGACCAAGAUCAUCGAUAGGGCCAUCUUCUACAAACUUUUCUUCAUCAUCCUCGCCCAUUGUAGUAUCUACAAAAGCUUGGCCUGCAGCCCAAUCCAGAAUGUUGUUAUCAUCGUCCUCUUCUUCACCGUCUUCUAUUAUAACCCCUCUUUCACCAUACUUGGUCCAAAC